Non-coding RNA from Bos taurus (domestic cattle), 82 nucleotides. NCBI's taxonomy places the organism in Eukaryota, Metazoa, Chordata, Mammalia, Artiodactyla, Bovidae. The record is from Rfam.
GAUGAGGUGACCCAGUGGUUAAGGGGAUGGACUCUUAAUCCAUUGUGCCAUGCACGCGUAGCUUUGAAUCCCAUCCUCAUCU